Molecule: ribosomal RNA, 439 nt
Filed under: uncultured bacterium
Lineage: Bacteria
Description: partial 16S ribosomal RNA
Rfam family: Bacterial small subunit ribosomal RNA
Source: RNAcentral
CUACGGGUGGCUCCAGUGAGGAAUAUUGCAAAAUGGAGGACACGCGGAAGAAGAAACGCCGCGUGGAGGGUCACGCAUUUCGGUGUGUAAACUCCUUUUCUCUGCCAAGGGGGGGAGGGGAGAAGAUGAAUAAGCUCCGGCUAACUACGUGCGAGGAGCCGCGGUAAUACGGAGGGAGCAAGCGUUACUCGGAAUCACUGGGCGUAAAGGACGCGUAGGCGGGAUAGAAAGUCAGGUGUGAAAUCCUAUGGCUCAACCAUAGAACUGCACUUGAAACUUCUAACCUAGAGUAUGGGAGGGGAAGCUGGAAUUAGUGGUGUAGGGGUAAAAUCCGUAGAUAUCACUAGGAAUACCAAAAGCGAAGGCGAUCUUCUGGAACAAUACUGACGCUAAGGCGUGAAAGCGUGGGGAGCAAACAGGAUUAGAUACCCGAGUAGUC